This 450-nucleotide ribosomal RNA is filed under the name uncultured bacterium. RNAcentral describes it as "partial 16S ribosomal RNA". It matches the Rfam family "Bacterial small subunit ribosomal RNA", at positions 354 to 796 of the family's 1533-position model. The record is from RNAcentral.
GUUAGGAAUAUUGGACAAUGGGCGCAAGCCUGAUCCAGCAAUGCCGCGUGCAGGAAGAAGGCCUUCGGGUUGUAAACUGCUUUUGUACGGAACGAAACGGUCCGGGUUAAUACCCUGGGCUAAUGACGGUACCGUAAGAAUAAGCACCGGCUAACUACGUGCCAGCAGCCGCGGUAAUACGUAGGGUGCAAGCGUUAAUCGGAAUUACUGGGCGUAAAGCGUGCGCAGGCGGUUUUGUAAGACAGGCGUGAAAUCCCCGGGCUCAACCUGGGAAUUGCGCUUGUGACUGCAAGGCUGGAGUGCGGCAGAGGGGGAUGGAAUUCCGCGUGUAGCAGUGAAAUGCGUAGAUAUGCGGAGGAACACCGAUGGCGAAGGCAAUCCCCUGGGCCUGCACUGACGCUCAUGCACGAAAGCGUGGGGAGCAAACAGGAUUAGAAACCCUGGUAGUCC